RNAcentral lists this ribosomal RNA (303 nucleotides) under Triticum aestivum (bread wheat). RNAcentral describes it as "partial small subunit ribosomal RNA". The record is from RNAcentral. Lineage: Eukaryota; Viridiplantae; Streptophyta; Magnoliopsida; Poales; Poaceae.
AUGUCUACCACCUCCGCCGCCAUGUCGCCCAGCACCAUGGGCGCGAUCACCACCACCUCCUCCUCCACCUUUGCCUCCUCAUCUACAGCCACCCAUACCUUCCAUGGAUCGCCACCACGGGAGAAGCUGACAAGGGGGAACUCACUGCUAUGGAAGGUCAUCGUGCUGCCACAGAUCAAGGGUGCUCAGAUGGAGCACUACCUCGACGAGAAGAGCCCGCCACCGCCGACCACUCUCACCAUCACCAAGGACAGCAAAGAAGAGCAAUUCAUCAACUUUGCACGAACUCUCUGGUAUGCAUAG